Molecule: long non-coding RNA, 4512 nt
Organism: Girardinichthys multiradiatus
Lineage: Eukaryota; Metazoa; Chordata; Actinopteri; Cyprinodontiformes; Goodeidae
Exons: 2
Source: RefSeq, a predicted model, not a curated record
GGGCUAGGAAUACAAAUGCACAACAAAGUUCAAAUGAUAGUAAUGGCAAUGACACUUUUAAUGACUGAAGGUGUUACCAUAGAUCCCAAGAAAAACUCUGUGUGAAGUUUAACCUCUAACAUAUUAGCUGAGAAUGUAAGUCCAGGAAACAUUCUUCAGAAGGCCAGUAGUUAGGAAAUGUUUUUUGGAUUAGAUCCCAGAACAGAGAAAGAGAUAAUAAGUAUAUAAAGAACAGGGUUUUGACUUAGAAAAGUUGCUUAAAGAAUUUAAAACAAGAACUUGAAUAAAUGUACAAUCCUGCACGACUGAAAGGUUUUUACAGUAAAGGAUACUGGAUUCUAAGUCUUCGCAAGUAAGUCUUUCACAGAUAAAUGAGUAUUUGAGAUGCACAAUGGUAGUAUAUAUGUACAAAAUAAAAUAGGUUUCUUGUUUUCAUUAAACAAUGGAUUUUAUCAAAUGUUAGUUACUGUAGGGAAACUCUUAGGGAAAAGCAAUGUUCCCUUUGAGGCAAAAUGUAGCUUUGACAUCUCUUUCGCAAACAGAGAAAGUGCCACGUGAUCUGGAUGUCUUUCAAUAAUUAUAUGGGGAACUUUUUGAAUGUGUGUACAGACAAUAAUAAAUUAACAUAAUCCUUGUUAGUUGAAAACAGCAGCGGUGUUGGAUGUGGCUAAAAACAAGGUCUCAGAGUGUUAGCAAACUAAGAGGUUUAUAUCAUAGGAGGGAGGAAUGAACUGCCUCCUUUGGAAUUGGUUAUCUUCUGUUUUGAUAAAUUCCAGGCGUUGUCUCUACAAUGCCAAACAUCACAUUCCUUGGACAAAGCACAAAAUUGCAGAAUCCAUUAAGUAUUCGCACCCUGAAUACACAGAAGUGAGGGCUAAACACUUGGCAUUGAAGUUAAAACUUAUCUUUUAGAUAAGAAUGUGUGAAGGAACCAACCCUAACGGAAAAGGGAUCUCUGGUACUGGAGGCCAGCGGUUAACUGAAGGGAAACUGACAAUACUGGCAGGCGAGACAAAGUAUCAUAACAUUUUAUUAUUUGUGCAGAAGCAGUGGUUAAUUAAGUUAGUAUCAUGAAGAUACAACUUUAUUCACACAUACAAGGACAAAGAAUGUCAAUAAACAAGAAAACUUUGAAUGCUGAAAACUGUCUUCUUCAUUUGAAAGUUUGCUGUAACAGGAUGACGUUGAUUAUAGAAUAUCAGCUGAAAUUUGAUACAUUAACAAAAUAGCAGAAACUGGGAUGCAUCAUCUCAAACAUGCAUCUCUCAUUUAAAAACAGCAUCUAAUAUAAAAAAAAGAUGCAUUUAUCUGUGAGUGAGACGACCAUUUGAAGUACAUAAGUGACAAGGCUCAUGUCUUCAGUUAAAUAAGAGGGAAACCUGAGCUUAUCUAUGAAGCCUGAACAACACAUCUAAAUGUUCUGAUGUAUCUCUCUGAUCAAAGGGGGGUUAAGUCAGAAGUUUAUGAGAUUGAUUUAAGAAAAAUAACACAUGACGUGAGGUCACACACGGUUUUAUAAAAUGACUAAUUUCUGAAUGAUAAUAAAAUGCGCACCAGGCAUACUAUUUUUAGGCACUGGAUCAAAUUGAAGACUGUUUAACUUAUUUUUACUUACUGUACCAAAACACAGUAGUUAGCAAUGUCAAUCUAUCUCUUUUCAGGAUAAUGUUUGAGAAAUACAUAGUUUAGAACAAUAUCUGUGCUGAUAGGGCGAGGUAGAAUAGCACUUCAUGCUUCCAGGGGAAAAGGUGAUUGCUUGAACUAUCCUUGUUGACUUCUGUUUCUAUCUUUUGCAUGAAAACCCUGAGCAAAUAUAAUUGAUUAUGACUGCUAAAAGGAGCAGUUCAGAUCUCUCUAUUAAUAGCCUUUUAAAGGUGAUGAGAGAAAUUGACCUACAGAACGUUACCCUUCGUUGAUGUGGAGGCUGGACCUGGGUUGUCGUUCAGAGAGCUUUUAGAAGAAAGUUCUUUCUGAAUGGAAAAUGGUUUGACCAUUUAUUUUAUUUUCUUAAGAACUUUAUGUAUUUUAUAUUUGCUGCAGCACAAUUUUACUCUAGAAGUUUAACUUGUUAAAUUUGGGUUCGAAGUUUCAUUUCUGCUCAUAAUUAUUUUGUUUUCUGAGAUUCCUAUGUACUCGGGGCUGGAGUUUGAGCACUACUGUGAAAGUUAUCACACCCCUUUUAACGUCAUCUUCGCAUUGGACUAUGAUAACGGAGGACGUUGAGGAAAUACAGAAAAAAGACACUAAGGAAAUACAGAAAAGGUGAUGCUACCGAUGCAACAACACCCAAUUUACAUGUGAUACUUCUGUUACAACUAUGAUCUGAACAAGUUCCCUGACGUCUAAUGCUUGGAUAACAUGUAUGAUGUAGUAACUAAGAGGAGAUUAGUAAGGGUUUAACUGCCAUUUUUGUUGAACAACAUUUUCUCCUGUUUCUGUUAAUUUAGGAAGGUAAGAUUAAUGUAUUUGGUUUCAAUUUCUUUUAUCAGGUGAGGUUUAUCCAUUAAAGGCAGAUCUGUUUGGUUGUUAUUUUGGCCUGGGUUAACCCUGAAGUUACAACAAUCUCCUUUUUGCACAACUUCAGUUUUAAUACCAAGUACAUUAGUUGGUUUCAUAUUCGGUGAUUUUAUAGGGCUUUGUAUGGUUUAGAGGGAAAUAUGUGGAAGAGUUAAAAGGACACAAACAGUAAUCGGACUGUGGAGACAUCAAGAAAGGAUGUUUAAUUAGACAUGUGGUACUUUAAUGUCACGGGUUAGCAGGAUACUGGUCAGUAUUCUCUGUCUUCUCAGAAUGACGCCAAUCCAGAGACUGGCCGUACAAGUAACCUUUUUGGGACUCAGAGACCUAUGGACACAUGAGGACUUUGUGGGACCCUGGGCCAGGAUAAAUGCGAUGGCAGAACAAUAAAGUUGAAAAGACCAAUCGCAGAGACUAAAGAAGGUUUCAGGAAGACCAAGGACAGAGACUGAACUACACUGCUUUUCUGCUGAGAAUUUUACUGAUGUUUUUUCUAUUUUCUGUUAUAACUUUGAAUUUGUCUUUAUGUCGCUUUAAUGUUCUGAAUUGAUUCAAGCUGUUUAUGCACUGUGAUAGAAUGGGAUCAUCCAUUCAAGUGAUAUUCAGCUCCAGAGGUUCAACAUGGUCAAUGUUUUCUGUUACAAAUAUUGUGGUGAAUAGGAAUGAUGAACCAGGACCUGAUUGGCAUGAAAGGUCCAUGAAAUAGAUGAUAAUGACACAUUUUAGAUUCAAAACAGAGAUCUCUCGUUCAGAUUGGCCGAGAAUGGGAUUUCUCUGAGGCCUCCAGACGUUUUUCCCCGCCUUUUAGGACAGGUGGGUUUUUCGACUGGUGUGACCUAAGCCGACCUGAACGUCCCCUUCAUCGAUACGUAAGCUUGGGAGUUUGACUGACAUGGAUGUUUUCCAUGGGUGAGUUGAUUAGAUGUGUUCCUGAAGGAGACUUUUGGGAAGAGCUACAGAGUAGCCGGAUUUGGUCUAAUUAGUGAAUAGGUUUAGUUUAGCAAAGUCAAACACAGUUAAAAUAAUGUGCGCAUAGAAGCUCUAAAUAGGAUCUUAAUUAAUUAGUUGAAUCUGAAAUUUCAGACCUAAACAAGAACAAUCAUUUAGGGUUGCUUAAUAUUGUACAUAGAGUAUCUUCAAUUUCUUUUAUAAUUGUUCACAUUUUUAUUCGUUUCAUCACUUUACUACAUCACUUAUACUCACAGGAUAUUUACAAUAUGAAUAUAAGACCUCUCUCAGCUGUUAAUUAGCUUAACACCUAAUUAGGGGGGAUAUGUGGAGGCGUAAAGCUCUGUUUAAUUAGACAAAAGUGUUAUUAUUGUCUUUACCAUAAUAAAAUAAACUCUGUGAUAAGUUCACUCUGAGUGGAGACAUGCAAGCUGGGAAACAGAUUACAUUAGAGGAAAGUUCUUGGCGAGAGGAAAGACAAAUUAACUUGUUAUUGCAGGCAACCAGGAAAACUGGUGAACAAUGCCAGAUCAACUGACCUAGCAAUCUUAAUAAAGUCAUGAGUUAUGUGUUGUCACGUACGCCAAUCUAAUGUUUUCCAGAUGUUGGGCCGGAGUGUAUUCUCUGGAAAAGUAGAGAUAACAGUGUGAAUGUGCCAAGGAAUGUUAUGUAAAGGAGAAGAAUGAUUUCAAUUGGUUAAGAAGGCCCAAAUACACACCAAUGCUUUGUAUCUGUAUAAAAACCACCCUGCACAGACUGGAGGCCAGGGUGACUUCUGGAAUUUGUGAUGGAUAUGACACUGUGCGCUUUUUGAAGAAUAAAAGUACCCUCUCUUAAAUCUCAUUGAGUAGCACAACUCUGCAUCUAGCUGCAGACCAGGACCAGAAUCUCAACCAGACACCAGAAAUGUUUAAAAGUCAUUUGUUUCCCACUUCACUUCAAGUCUCGUCUUUGAGGGGCAAGUCCAAGUCAAGUCUCAAGUCUUUCGCCCCAAUUCAGAGUCAAGUCUCUAACAACUGAAAUAAACAUUUCUUAUCAAAUCCACAA